UAAGACUCUUAAAUCUAGAUGAACAAGUUUCUAGAUUGAAUUUGUGGAUUAGAAUCGUACCAAGUAUUUUCUCUUAUUGAGUAGGUCUCAUCCAUGAGGUUGAUGUUACAUCUUAUCAAUAAAAAUGAAAAAGUGAAAGAAAGAAGGAUAGAUGGAUCUUAGGUUUUAUGAAGGGCUGUUUUUUACUUUCUGUUUAUAAUAUACGAUGCAUGUUUGCAACCUCUUUAAAGACAGCUUAAAUUGUAAUGCCAUCUUGUUUUAUCACUUUAUUCUAAAUCGACUUUUGGAAAUUAUUUAUUUGUGUGGAUCUUGAUUAUUUUUAAACCAUUAUAAGAAUGAAUGUUUGGUAAUAUGCGCUCUAUUUUUUACAAUUCAUUGUAAUUCUUUGCCGAUCAUUGAUCUGCACUAUUUUUUGAGCAUGUACCGAAAGUUGCAGCGCACCCGAAACAAUUUUGGACUUUUCAUAUUCUAAAUCCAUAUGCAAGAUGGAAUUUUUCCUCUCAGAGGUGGUACAUUCUCUUCUAUAUUAAAAGUGCUUGAGACAAUACACAGUAGACUAGCUCAAGUACAUGGAACUUGCCUGAAGUUUUUUCGAGAGUACUCGGUGUUCACUUGCUUGCUGGAAAACUUUUUCUACACGAGGAGAGGUGCAAGAUAAGGCCCUCAAAGUGGUUCAUGAGUGCCUAAAACACAUUGAAGGAGGGCUCAAGCUCAACGGGAACGUUUUUAAUGGAGAAACAUGUGGGUUUCUUUGCAUAGUUGCUAAUGCUAUAAGGUUCGGCAUGGGAGUACUAGGGGAAGCUGGGGGAAUACAGUAUUAUGAUCCUGAGGAAAUGCUGGUCCUUCAUUCUUGGAUCGAAGGGUUCAGAGGCAUAGAAGUCAGGCAGAUGUUUCCAUCUUGCGAUGAGCUUGUCUCCUACUUUAGGGGUCGCCAUGAAGCCCUACUUGGAAGCCCGACUUCCUCUUAAUCAAAUGAAGGGUACCAAUUGCAUUUCAUUGUCUCAUGCUAUGUCUCACAACUCUUGUUUAAAGUUUUCCUUCAA
Molecule: non-coding RNA, 1043 nt
Organism: Amborella trichopoda
Lineage: Eukaryota; Viridiplantae; Streptophyta; Magnoliopsida; Amborellales; Amborellaceae
Source: RefSeq, a predicted model, not a curated record